Molecule: ribosomal RNA, 783 nt
Filed under: Triticum aestivum (bread wheat)
Lineage: Eukaryota; Viridiplantae; Streptophyta; Magnoliopsida; Poales; Poaceae
Description: partial small subunit ribosomal RNA
Source: RNAcentral
AUGUACAAUAAUGUUGUGACAAGUGUUCGAACAAGUGAUGUCGACACCGAUGACUUCCCGAUUAAGAUAGGACUGCAUCAGGGGUCAGCUUUGAGCCCUUAUCUUUUUGCAUUGGUGAUGGAUGAGGUCACAAGGGGUAUACAAGGAGAUAUCCCAUGGUGUAUGCUCUUUGCGGAUGAUGUGGUGCUAGUUGACGAUAGUCGGACGGGGGUAAAUAGGAAGUUAGAGUUAUGGAGACAAACCUUGGAAUCGAAAGGGUUUAGGCUUAGUAGAACUAAAACCGAGUACAUGAUGUGCGGUUUCAGUACUACUAGCUAUGAGGAGGAGGAGGUUAGCCUUGAUGGCCAGGUGGUACCUCGGAAGGACACCUUUCGGUAUUUGGGGUCAAUGUUGCAGGAGGAUGGGGGUAUUGAUGAUGAUGUGAACCAUCGAAUCAAAGCCGGAUGGAUGAAGUGGCGCCAAGCUUCUGGCAUUCUCUGUGACAAGAGAGUGCCACAAAAGCUAAAAGGCAAGUUCUACAGGACGGCGGUUCGACCCGCAAUGUUGUAUGGCGCGGAGUGUUGGCCGACUAAAAGGCGACAUGUUCAACAGUUAGGUGUGGCGGAGAUGCGUAUGUUGAGAUGGAUGUGUGGCCACACGAGGAAGGAUCGAGUCCGGAAUGAUGAUAUACGAGAUAGAGUUGGGGUAGCACCAAUUGAGGAGAAGCUUGUCCAACAUCGUUUGAGAUGGUUUGGGCAUAUUCAGCGCAGGCCUCCAGAAGCUCCAGGCAUAGCGGACGGCUAA